This 591-nucleotide long non-coding RNA is filed under the name Bos taurus (domestic cattle). RNAcentral describes it as "long non-coding RNA NONBTAT026940". The record is from RNAcentral. Lineage: Eukaryota; Metazoa; Chordata; Mammalia; Artiodactyla; Bovidae.
GGUAAUGUAUGACUGACACACAAUAACCCAGAACUUAAGAACCAGAUAAGCAUAAUCCUGCAAAAUAGAUCCUCUGGAAAACUCUAUGGUAACUACAAUGAUCUUGCCCAUAGCAUCACUGAUUCUGGAGCCGCUUUAGAAUGAUCUCUAAAAAGAUAUAGCUUUUUCUUUCUAUUAGGAAAGCCCAGGAACAUCAUAAACAUAUUAAGAGAUUUCCUACUCAUCACUAGUAACUGAAAAUGAACUGAAGAGGAGUAGGCUCAGUCCCACUGUUAAGGUCCCUGCAAGGAAUGGCAAAGAGCAAGAUCACCAACCAGGAUGCUCUCGACCUCCAGUUAUUCCAGGGGGUCAUGUUCUGAGCAGCAACAUGGCCUGAGGAGCUAAUCACCCCUGAGUAGUUGGUAAAUGCCUACCUAACAUGCUCCCAUUUUGAGGACAAGAAAAUGAAGGGAAAAAAUACUUCAAAAUGUGUGUGUUGGUUCACUCAUUUAAAAAAGGAUCAUAAAUGAUAAAAGAUAACCUGAUGUAUUAAACCACUAACAAUAACAUCAUCAGCACUUACUGGAAAGUUACCGAUCUACUAGCUGCACA